AUUGAACGCUGGCGGCGUGCCUAACACAUGCAAGUCGAGCGGUAACGCGGGGGCAACCCUGGCGACGAGCGGCGAACGGGUGCGGAAUGCAUGGGAAUCUGCCUGGUAGUGGGGAAUAACCCGGGGAAACUCGGGCUAAUGCCGCAUACGACCUGAGGGUGAAAGCGGGGGACCGUAAGGCCUCGCGCUAUCAGAUGAGCCCAUGUCGGAUUAGCUAGUUGGUAGGGUAAUGGCCUACCAAGGCGACGAUCCGUAGCUGGUCUGAGAGGACGGCCAGCCACACUGGGACUGAGACACGGCCCAGACUCCUACGGGAGGCAGCAGUGGGGAAUAUUGGACAAUGGGGGCAACCCUGAUCCAGCGACGCCGCGUGUGUGAAGAAGGCCUGCGGGUUGUAAAGCACUUUUAGUGGGGAGGAAGGUCUGCGACCUAACACGUCGUGGAAUUGACUUAACCCACAGAAAAAGCACCGGCUAACUCUGUGCCAGCAGCCGCGGUAAAGUGACU
Molecule: ribosomal RNA, 507 nt
Filed under: uncultured bacterium
Lineage: Bacteria
Description: bacterial SSU rRNA
Rfam family: Bacterial small subunit ribosomal RNA
Source: RNAcentral